Molecule: ribosomal RNA, 1372 nt
Filed under: uncultured bacterium
Lineage: Bacteria
Description: bacterial SSU rRNA
Rfam family: Bacterial small subunit ribosomal RNA
Source: RNAcentral
GAUGAACGCUGGCGGCGUGCCUAAUACAUGCAAGUCGAGCGAACGGACGAGAAGCUUGCUUCUCUGAUGUUAGCGGCGGACGGGUGAGUAACACGUGGAUAACCUACCUAUAAGACUGGGAUAACUUCGGGAAACCGGAGCUAAUACCGGAUGAUAUUUUGAACCGCAUGGUUCAAAAGUGAAAGACGGUCUUGCUGUCACUUAUAGAUGGAUCCGCGCUGCAUUAGCUAGUUGGUAAGGUAACGGCUUACCAAGGCAACGAUGCAUAGCCGACCUGAGAGGGUGAUCGGCCACACUGGAACUGAGACACGGUCCAGACUCCUACGGGAGGCAGCAGUAGGGAAUCUUCCGCAAUGGGCGAAAGCCUGACGGAGCAACGCCGCGUGAGUGAUGAAGGUCUUCGGAUCGUAAAGCUCUGUUAUUAGGGAAGAACAUAUGUGUAAGUAACUGUGCACAUCUUGACGGUACCUAAUCAGAAAGCCACGGCUAACUACGUGCCAGCAGCCGCGGUAAUACGUAGGUGGCAAGCGUUAUCCGGAAUUAUUGGGCGUAAAGCGCGCGUAGGCGGUUUUUUAAGUCUGAUGUGAAAGCCCACGGCUCAACCGUGGAGGGUCAUUGGAAACUGGAAAACUUGAGUGCAGAAGAGGAAAGUGGAAUUCCAUGUGUAGCGGUGAAAUGCGCAGAGAUAUGGAGGAACACCAGUGGCGAAGGCGACUUUCUGGUCUGUAACUGACGCUGAUGCGCGAAAGCGUGGGGAUCAAACAGGAUUAGAUACCCUGGUAGUCCACGCCGUAAACGAUGAGUGCUAAGUGUUAGGGGGUUUCCGCCCCUUAGUGCUGCAGCUAACGCAUUAAGCACUCCGCCUGGGGAGUACGACCGCAAGGUUGGAACUCAAAGGAAUUGACGGGGACCCGCACAAGCGGUGGAGCAUGUGGUUUAAUUCGAAGCAACGCGAAGAACCUUACCAAAUCUUGACAUCCUUUGACAACUCUAGAGAUAGAGCCUUCCCCUUCGGGGGACAAAGUGACAGGUGGUGCAUGGUUGUCGUCAGCUCGUGUCGUGAGAUGUUGGGUUAAGUCCCGCAACGAGCGCAACCCUUAAGCUUAGUUGCCAUCAUUAAGUUGGGCACUCUAAGUUGACUGCCGGUGACAAACCGGAGGAAGGUGGGGAUGACGUCAAAUCAUCAUGCCCCUUAUGAUUUGGGCUACACACGUGCUACAAUGGACAAUACAAAGGGCAGCGAAACCGCGAGGUCAAGCAAAUCCCAUAAAGUUGUUCUCAGUUCGGAUUGUAGUCUGCAACUCGACUACAUGAAGCUGGAAUCGCUAGUAAUCGUAGAUCAGCAUGCUACGGUGAAUACGUUCCCGGGUCU